AAAAGAAGAGGAAGAGGUCAAGCUAUUCAUGGCCUGUUAUGAUGAUGCAAAUGUUUGCUACUGAUAUUUGGUGUUUGGAAAGUAGGUGCUCUAAUCACAUGACCAGUGUAAAGUCAUUAUUCUAGGAGCUUGAUGAAUCAUUGAAGUUGAAAAGUGAGAAUUGGUGACAACAAGCAUAUGCAAGUUGAAGGACAAAGGUAUUAUGGCAAUAUGGUCAUGGUAACAUCAAGGUUCU
Molecule: long non-coding RNA, 235 nt
Filed under: Ricinus communis (castor bean)
Lineage: Eukaryota; Viridiplantae; Streptophyta; Magnoliopsida; Malpighiales; Euphorbiaceae
Description: long non-coding RNA (RCOM_LNC001279)
Source: RNAcentral